CGGGUGAGUAACGCGUAAGUAACCUACCUCUAAGUGGGGGAUAGCUUCGGGAAACUGAAGGUAAUACCGCAUGUGGUGGACCGACAUAUGUUGGUUCACUAAAGCCGUAAGGCGCUUGGUGAGGGGCUUGCGUCCGAUUAGCUAGUUGGUGGGGUAAUGGCCUACCAAGGCUUCGAUCGGUAGCUGGUCUGAGAGGAUGAUCAGCCACACUGGGACUGAGACACGGCCCAGACUCCUACGGGAGGCAGCAGCAAGGAAUCUUGGGCAAUGGGCGAAAGCCUGACCCAGCAACGCCGCGUGAGGGAUGAAGGCUUUCGGGUUGUAAACCUCUUUUCAUAGGGAAGAAUAAUGACGGUACCUGUGGAAUAAGCUUCGGCUAACUACGUGCCAGCAGCCGCGGUAAUACGUAGGAAGCAAGCGUUAUCCGGAUUUAUUGGGCGUAAAGUGAGCGUAGGUGGUCUUUCAAGUUGGAUGUGAAAUUUCCCGGCUUAACCGGGACGAGUCAUUCAAUACUGUUGGACUAGAGUACAGCAGGAGAAAACGGAAUUCCCGGUGUAGUGGUAAAAUGCGUAGAUAUCGGGAGGAACACCAGAGGCGAAGGCGGUUUUCUAGGUUGUCACUGACACUGAGGCUCGAAAGCGU
RNAcentral lists this ribosomal RNA (642 nucleotides) under uncultured Dehalococcoides sp. RNAcentral's name for it is "bacterial SSU rRNA". It matches the Rfam family "Bacterial small subunit ribosomal RNA", at positions 103 to 762 of the family's 1533-position model. Lineage: Bacteria; Bacillati; Chloroflexota; Dehalococcoidia; Dehalococcoidales; Dehalococcoidaceae. The record is from RNAcentral.